UAAAAAUUAUUUAACAAGACAUUCGGUCUUCUUGAUUCUUUUACUUUUGAGCUUUUCUCAUUGAAUAUCAAACUAACACUAUUUUGUGGUGAUGUUUAAAAAGCCACUCCUACACAUUGUGUUUAUAUUGUUAUUUCUACCUAUCAUCAUCAUCAUCGUCUUAAUAGUUGUGAUGAGAUGAUGGACGAAAUUUCUUUUAGUAUUGCAAGAACUUAUGUAAACGUUAUAUCACUUUUGUAUAUAUGUAUGUAUCAUGUUGAUUGAUAUAACAAUUCCACUGGUUAUCGAAAUGAUCAGGACUCACUAGUAGCACAUUUGUGAUACUACUUUCUUUAUUCCACUCAGCUUUGCAGGUAUAAAAGGAGCAGAUAAUACUGACAGAACGGACACCACCACCCUUUGCAACAUUUGCAUGCAGGGUUGUAAUUGUAAACAAACUUACACACACACACACACACACAUACAUAGUUCCAUACAAUGGUAUUCUUUCAGUUCCUACUAAGGCUGUGGUCACUUGUGCAUUGAAACUGGACCCAAAACCACAUGGCUGAAAAGGUUUUUUCACAGGGCCACCAAGACUGGUGGGAGAAAGGAAAGAAUGUACCCUCACACUGGAGACUUUGCUCAAAGGUUGAAAAGUAAACUUGUUAACCACAUUGUCAUGAUGGGUGAGCAAGCAUGGCUAACAAGUUGAUAGAUGUU
Octopus sinensis (East Asian common octopus) is the source of this 702-nucleotide long non-coding RNA. RefSeq lists it as uncharacterized. NCBI's taxonomy places the organism in Eukaryota, Metazoa, Mollusca, Cephalopoda, Octopoda, Octopodidae. The record is from RefSeq and is a predicted model, not a curated record. The transcript is spliced from 3 exons.